RNAcentral lists this ribosomal RNA (435 nucleotides) under uncultured bacterium. RNAcentral describes it as "partial 16S ribosomal RNA". It matches the Rfam family "Bacterial small subunit ribosomal RNA", at positions 29 to 507 of the family's 1533-position model. The record is from RNAcentral.
AGCGAACGCUGGCGGCAGGCUUAACACAUGCAAGUCGAGCGGGCACUUUCGGGUGUCAGCGGCGGACGGGUGAGUAACGCGUGGGAACGUGCCCUCUGGUUCGGAAUAACUCAGGGAAACUUGAGCUAAUAUCGGAUACGCCCUUUUGGGGAAAGGCUUGCUGCCGGAGGAUCGGCCCGCGUCUGAUUAGCUAGUUGGUGAGGUAACGGCUCACCAAGGCGACGAUCAGUAGCUGGUCUGAGAGGAUGAUCAGCCACACUGGGACUGAGACACGGCCCAGACUCCUACGGGAGGCAGCAGUGGGGAAUAUUGGACAAUGGGCGCAAGCCUGAUCCAGCCAUGCCGCGUGAGUGAUGAAGGCCUUAGGGUUGUAAAGCUCUUUUAUCCGGGACGAUAAUGACGGUACCGGAGGAAUAAGCCCCGGCUAACUUCGUG